Molecule: non-coding RNA, 99 nt
Organism: Acanthosepion pharaonis
Lineage: Eukaryota; Metazoa; Mollusca; Cephalopoda; Sepiida; Sepiidae
Source: the annotation of a GenBank genome assembly
GUUGCAACACCGGCUCCCGUGCGAUCACUAAAGUUAAGCAACAUUGAGCCUGGUCGAUACAAAGAUGGGUGACAGUUUGAGAAUAUCCAGUGCUGUAAG